UGCCCCGAAGUGGGGAAUAACUGCCCGAAAGGGUGGCUAAUACCGCAUGUGGAGACACAUUCGUUUGUGUCUCUAAAGCCGUAAGGCGCUUCGGGAGGGGCCUGCGUCCGAUUAGCUCGUUGGUGGGGUAACGGCUCACCAAGGCGACGAUCGGUAGGUGGUCUGAGAGGACGAUCACCCAGACUGGGACUGAGACACGGCCCAGACUCCUACGGGAGGCAGCAGUCGGGAAUUUUGGGCAAUGGGCGAAAGCCUGACCCAGCAACGCCGCGUGAGGGAUGAAGGCCUUCGGGUCGUAAACCUCUUUUCUCAGGGACGAUAAUGACGGUACCUGAGGAAGAAGCCACGGCUAACUACGUGCCAGCAGCCGCGGUAAUACGUAGGUGGCGAGCGUUGUCCGGAUUUACUGGGCGUAAAGAGCGCGCAGGCGGUCGUGCAAGUCGAAUGUGAAAGCCCCCGGCUCAACUGGGGAGGGUCAUUCGAUACUGCUCGACUAGAAGGCAGGAGAGGGAAGUGGAAUUCCCGGUGUAGUGGUGAAAUGCGUAGAUAUCGGGAGGAACACCAGUGGCGAAGGCGACUUCCUGGCCUGUUCUUGACGCUGAGGCGCGAAAGCUAGGGGAGCAAACGGGAUUAGAUACCCCGGUAGUCCUAGCCGUAAACGAUGGACACUAGGUGUUGGCGGUAUCAACCCCGCCAGUGCCGAAGCUAACGCAUUAAGU
RNAcentral lists this ribosomal RNA (719 nucleotides) under uncultured Chloroflexota bacterium. RNAcentral describes it as "bacterial SSU rRNA". It matches the Rfam family "Bacterial small subunit ribosomal RNA", at positions 127 to 865 of the family's 1533-position model. Lineage: Bacteria; Bacillati; Chloroflexota. The record is from RNAcentral.